Molecule: ribosomal RNA, 465 nt
Filed under: Vreelandella stevensii
Lineage: Bacteria; Pseudomonadati; Pseudomonadota; Gammaproteobacteria; Oceanospirillales; Halomonadaceae
Description: partial 16S ribosomal RNA
Rfam family: Bacterial small subunit ribosomal RNA
Source: RNAcentral
CCUACGGGGGGCUGCAGUGAGGAAUAUUGGACAAUGGGGGGAACCCUGAUCCAGCCAUGCCGCGUGUGUGAAGAAGGCCCUCGGGUUGUAAAGCACUUUCAGUGAGGAAGAACGCCUGGUGGUUAAUACCCAUCAGGAAAGACAUCACUCACAGAAGAAGCACCGGCUAACUCCGUGCCAGCAGCCGCGGUAAUACGGAGGGUGCGAGCGUUAAUCGGAAUUACUGGGCGUAAAGCGCGCGUAGGUGGCUUGAUAAGCCGGUUGUGAAAGCCCCGGGCUCAACCUGGGAACGGCAUCCGGAACUGUCAAGCUAGAGUGCAGGAGAGGAAGGUAGAAUUCCCGGUGUAGCGGUGAAAUGCGUAGAGAUCGGGAGGAAUACCAGUGGCGAAGGCGGCCUUCUGGACUGACACUGACACUGAGGUGCGAAAGCGUGGGUAGCAAACAGGAUUAGAUACCCCAGUAGUC